Molecule: ribosomal RNA, 253 nt
Filed under: uncultured bacterium
Lineage: Bacteria
Description: partial 16S ribosomal RNA
Rfam family: Bacterial small subunit ribosomal RNA
Source: RNAcentral
UACAGAGGGGGCAAGCGUUGUUCGGAAUUACUGGGCGUAAAGGGCGCGUAGGCGGCCUUCUAAGUCGAACGUGAAAUCCCUGGGCUCAACCCAGGAACUGCGUCCGAGACUGGGAGGCUAGAAUCCGGGAGAGGGAUGUGGAAUUCCAGGUGUAGCGGUGAAAUGCGUAGAUAUCUGGAGGAACACCGGUGGCGAAGGCGACAUCCUGGACCGGCAUUGACGCUGAGGCGCGAAAGCCAGGGGAGCAAACGGG